UACGGGGGGUGCAAGCGUUGUCCGGAAUCAUUGGGCGUAAAGAGUUCGUAGGCGGCAUGUCAAGUCUGGUGUUAAAUCCUGAGGCUCAACUUCAGUUCAGCACUGGAUACUGGCAAGCUAGAAUGCGGUAGAGGUAAAGGGAAUUCCUGGUGUAGCGGUGAAAUGCGUAGAUAUCAGGAAGAACACCGGUGGCGUAAGCGCUUUACUGGGCCGUUAUUGACGCUGAGGAACGAAAGCCGGGGGAGCGAAUGGG
Molecule: ribosomal RNA, 253 nt
Filed under: uncultured bacterium
Lineage: Bacteria
Also listed under: 1 other name
Description: partial 16S ribosomal RNA
Rfam family: Bacterial small subunit ribosomal RNA
Source: RNAcentral